GUCCAAUAAUACAGAUUUUACUAGGUUUAACAAUUUUUCACAGUCAUCUGGUUAUUUUUCCCCUGACAUAUUAAAUCUAAUCCUUCUGAAACACUAAUUAACUUUCUGACGCACUUAUCUUUCAUACCGACGCUUCUUGGUCAAAGAUUGGUAUCUUGGGACAAUUAAAUUCUCAUUUUCCUCCAAAAUCCUGAAGGUAGACUGAUAUAAAUAGAUAGAUACUUGUGAAUUGAUUAAGACUUAAAGUUAUUUAUAAUUUGUAACCCAAAC
This 270-nucleotide long non-coding RNA is filed under the name Mytilus galloprovincialis (Mediterranean mussel). Lineage: Eukaryota; Metazoa; Mollusca; Bivalvia; Mytilida; Mytilidae. The record is from RNAcentral.